Molecule: ribosomal RNA, 441 nt
Filed under: uncultured bacterium
Lineage: Bacteria
Description: partial 16S ribosomal RNA
Rfam family: Bacterial small subunit ribosomal RNA
Source: RNAcentral
CCUACGGGAGGCAGCAGUGGGGAAUAUUGCACAAUGGGGGAAACCCUGAUGCAGCAACGCCGCGUGAAGGAAGACGGCUUUCGGAUUGUAAACUUCUGUUCUUAGUGAAGAAUAAUGACGGUAACUAAGCAGCAAACCAAGGCUAACUACGUGCCAGCAGCCGCGGGAAUAAGGAGGUGGCAAGCGUUGUCCGGAAUUACUGGGUGGAAAGGGAGCGCAGGCGGGGAGCCAAGUCAGCUGUGAAAACUACGGGCUUAACUUGUAGACUGCAGUUGAAACUGGUUUUCUUGAGUGAAGGAGAGGUUGGCGGAAUUCCGAGUGUAGCGGUGAAAUGCGUAGAUAUUCGGAGGAACACCGGUGGCGAAGGCGGCCAACUGGGCUUUAACUGACGCUGAGGCUCGAAAGUGUGGGGAGCAAACAGGAUUAGAUACCCGAGUAGUC